GAUGUUUAAAAGUGAUAUCCUUUCCUUAAGGACUUUGUUUCAUACAAAGAACAUUUAGUACAACAAUUUGUGAGUGAUAUAAUGUUAAAAAGUGAACAUCUUUUGCACGCGUUCAAAUGGCUGCCGGCGUCGGCUUGGGUCAGUGUGUCAGUGUAUGCGUGAUGCUUCGAUCGAGUGCUUGCUGUACAGCAAUGCGUACAGUGUGUAAGUGAAAGAAUGCUCCUGUUUUAAAUUGAAGGAGCCCCAAAAUCAGAAACAGUAUUGUCUACUAAACGAAAAAGUAAAAUUUUCAUCUUUCAUUGCAUUUUAAAUAAAUCUGAUUUAUCUUUCGUAACAGGAAAGGAUUGUAAACAGUUUACAAACGAUUAGGCAAAUUGAAAGACGCUAUGCGUAGGUGUAUUGAGGCGGUGCGUUUCCCGCCAUAAUUACUCUUUUGACAUUUUGACAUCUCAUCUAAUCUAACGGUAUCGUGUUGAUAGUGGUAAAGCGUUAACAAGAUUUGUUCCAUUUUGCGUACAUUUUGGCGUUCUUAUUCCGACGUUAAAGUUAGAAUUUUGUGUUUGAGUAAGAACAUUAACAAUCAGUGCGUGUACUAAGCUUGCAAUUUAUUUGCAUUUGUGUUGUGAAGUGUAUUUUGCCUACGAGUUUUUUCAUAAAAUCAUGGCGUAAAAAAGUGAUGUCGAUUUUUCAAUCAGGCUUAUUGCUUAUUAUGGCUUAUUGCGUGAAUUAGUGAAGAAUGUGUUGAAAAAAUGUAUUAGUGGCCAUUUUAUGUGAGUAUGUUGUUUUAAAUGCGCCCAAGUGCAUUGAAGUUUGCUUGCUGAAAAAGAAAAUAGUAGUGUGUAUAAGCAAAGUGGCCACGAAAAAGCAGUUUUGUCUGCCGAAGUAAAUGCGUUCCUGAAGUUUAUGAAAAUAAUGUGUCCUGUGCACAAACUAUCGUUUAUCAGGAAAAACGUGUUGAUUGGGUGAAACGUUAACAGAGUUCCGUCCAUCCACAAGCCGAUUUGUGGAAAAUUUGGACCGACGGAAAUUUAGAUGAAAGGUAAGUGCAAUAACUAUUGUUAUACUUCUUAAACAUGGACUCGCGUCUCUAUAUUUUUGCUCUAUCAAUGGACAAAACACAUCCCCAUUUAAUGGAUAGUUUUUAAAGAAACUCGUAUAUUCAAAUUUAAUUUUACUCAACUCUUGCCUAGCUCGGAACCAAAUUCAGUAUGAUGAAUUAAACAUAAAUUCUACGUUCCUAUUCAACGGUCGAGUAAGCAUUCCAUUUCGUCAUACAUUCUACUUUGAACUAAUAAAUUGUAAGGAGUGCCACUCCAACUUCCUCACGUGGUCAACGAUAAAACGCAUCACCGGUUAGGUCUCUCGCUUUUUGCUGCUCCCAGUAAAACCGAAGAAAAUGGUUGAACAAUAAACUAAUUUCCAUAAUAAAAUCAAUAAAUUCAACAAACCCACACUGUAUUUCUGGCCGGUCGCGUCUUUUCCACUAUCCACCGGUGAAGCACCGAGCCAUUGGGCGAAGGUGGAAUGGAAAAUUUGUCAAGCCACGUUUGUAAAUAAACGACCCAUGGGACUCAUAAACUAAGGUUUGAAUUAUAUCACAUUGAUCUUUUGAAAUGGGCACCAUGGUAACGUACAUUUGGAGUUUUCCAGUUUUUUUAUAGAACAAAUGUCCAUAGCACCAGUGUACGUGCUACCUGUGCUGAGAGCCCUUUUUUUUUGAAGAGGCACCAAAUCCAUUCCAAACCAUUCAAAACCACCUGUUUUCCGUUUGCGAUCAAUAGUUUUUGUCACUGUUGUCGUCAAUCCGUCGGAGUUGUUGGGUUUUUGUUGUGUCAGUUUUUGGACUCUGGUUUAGAUGAUUUUCCCAGCACCUAGUCCGAAUAUACCGAAAUGAAAUAAAUUACUUUCUCGUUUGUUUCCCACUGGAAACCCGAAUCGAUGUCGCGGGAACGGUUAUGCUCACCUGGAAACACUGGUGUGGCAUGAGGGACGAACAAACGGAGACAAACGGGUAAUGGAAUGGGUUGUGUGUUGUGUGAUUCCGGAACACGGUCACGUUGGCGCAACGGUCGUGAACGAAGCCUAUCGGGUCCUCCGUUCCUUCUGGUCCUUCCGUGCUGUGAACUUUCGUACUUUACCUUUUUUCUGUUGCUGCUGUCGUUUUCUAACCAUCCAGCAGUUAGUGUGAAAAGAAUAAAAAUACCUCACCAUAGGACAAUCAACCUCCUCUUCGCUGAGGACCUCCACAAGUUGGGAAUCGAUUUACGUCCUGCAUAAAAAAUCAUUUUCUCUCUAUUAAAGCGCGCACGAAGAAAUAGUGUGGUAGAAUUUUAAACAACAAGCAAAAGUUUGUUUUAUUCCUUCUGUUACUAAGAAGAAUAGCGUUGGAAGAUUGACAAAAGGCGGACAGAAAUGAUGUUUUCAUAAAGGAGGCAUCAUUGUGUUCAAAGCUUCUUUUGUUGACAAAUUGUCCCUUCGAUGACUAUCGAAUAUGAUUGUACGAUGUGGGACGGUCAGCUUUGACAGAUGCAUGGCCCAAAGUAUUGAGCUUUAGGUUUUUGUUUUUUCAAAACAUUCCAGAAUUCCUACUGGAAGGACGUAAACAAUUGACCAAUACAAUGCAGCACCAUUAUAAAAACUGGACAGCUGACGCAAUACCUAGUAACGAGUUUAUGCGAUGACUUUAAUUUAAAAGAAUGAAUCUAAAAAAAACUAGACAUCUCGAACGGGGCGCAAGUUAACUUUAAUCGACCGGACAUUAAUGUUGCAGAAUCUGUCACAUGUAGGAGCAUUCAAUAAAUCACCAGUCAACUAUUAGCGGACACACGGUCGGCAAAACCCGAACAGGAUGAAGGUGGGAUCGUUUUCCCCAUGAACCCAAAAUAGUCGUAUGUUUCAUGCUAAAUUGAAUCAUAAAUCAACGCAACAACCCACAAUGGUUUACGCGGUUUUUUUUUUUGUGUUUCGUUGUGCUGUUCUACGGAUUCCUCAGUUGACCAUUUUGUGGAGCGCGCUUUUUGUGCGUUUCUGCUCAAUACUCGGCGUACGAUCGUACGAACACGGUUACGCGGUAAAGUGUUUCCACGCCAAACGCGCGCUUGGGUGCAGAUUUGAUCGUAAUCAUCGGUCCCGCACCAAACUUCUGACCGUAGCACGGGAAAAAGUGUCAUUCGAGAUGGCUUCCAAAUGUUUUACGCGCCCGUAACGUGAAGGUGCAAUCAGGGAUCACGAUCCUGUUGCUUAAGCCGAUAUGAAUACCAACGUGAAGGCGGAGAAAAAAGAGCUGAAAUUGAUUUAUAAGACACGAUAACCAUCACCUUCUAGAGUCGCGUUCUCAGUUACCUGAUCCAAUCGUUCUUUCGAGAUCCACCACCCGUGCGCACGACCGAUUGGAGGAUCUGGAAUAAAUCUAGCACAUACGGCUGGGAAUCGUAUUAUUUUCCGUUUUUUCGUAGAAUUUCACAUACAUCAUUUAUCAAUUUACCGAUCACAAAAAUCGAAGCAAUUUUCGAAAGAGAAAGGCAUGUAAUUUCGAUUCCUUUUUCCAAGAGUAAGCGCAUAGAAAUGUUGAUGCAGUCGAACGUAUUUCGUGGUGAAACACUUGGGGCUUUUGCUGUUAAAAGAAGUUCACAAUUUAGUCUAAGUAUAUCUGUAAGCUUUUCUGUGGUUUGCUGGGAAUGAUAAUGCUAGCUAAUGAUGCCGCGCUCUGAGGUAGACAUCACAGCGAAGAAACCGCUCGGCAGAUAGUAUAAAUUGAUUUAUAUAAUUCGAGCCGAAUCGCUCCGGUGGUCGUUUCGCUGUAUGACUUAUUAGGACCAUCAACCGGUUCCGAUCACUCCCCUUCGCCUUGUUAAUGAGGCUACAAACGUUCCAAAGCCGGCAUAUCCUCUCGCGCACAGGGUGAUAAAUCUAAUACCACUGAAGGUGAAGCGCGGUUAGUGAUUUAUACGUGUCUGAUGAUUAAAAUAUUUGGCGGAAAUACAUCAAAUGCUUCAGUUCAGCCUUUUGGCAGUGACUCAUCGAUUGGUCGGGUACGCAGGUUUGCGUACAAUAAUUCACAAACGCUCUAUCUGCAUUUGCUAAUGAUUGCUCUAGAAGUAAUUGGGAACAAUUACAAUUAUACAUCAUCAUCGCACAAGCCAUCGGUGUUUAAGUUGUUGCAUUUAUCUUCCAACAAUGAGCAAUCAUUUACAGGUGGAAGUAUAAAGUUUUAGUUCCCAACGCUGGGUUUUGUUUUCCUCCGUUGUUGAAUAAAGCAAUUGGGAAAGAUUUAAUUUAAUUCUUCUGUGCAUAAGGCGUGUUGCACAGCCUGUUACAUUCACCUGAAGGGGUGCAUCCUGCAAGUAGAGGCUUUGUGUGUGAUUCAUCCCCUUUCAACUCUUCUUCCCACAUCGACAGCUACUCGCGAAGCUGCCGUUGUGCCAUUGCGUGCGCGGGGUCGUAGAAAGCCGUCCCGAAAACCCUAUAAUUUCAGUUGACAGUUUAAGGAACAAGCGGCACAUCAAAAGUAAUCGUUCAAGCGGUACUGUAUUUCCUGCCAUGCACGUCAUCUGUUCGCCGGCAGCAUCCAACCCUCUCGCUGAAUAGUGGGAACAAUUAUUGUGAUUAUUUUUAGAUCGUUCCGAGCGAAUUGUCGAACGGUUUCGAUGAUCCUUGAUCCCUUUUUUUUGGAACAGCCUAUUUCAAUAGACUGUCAAAGCAAAACUUGGGCGCGUUUGUCUGUUACGCAAUGCCCAACCGACAUAAGUGCGAGGAGAUCGUUUGUGCUGAUAGGUGUCGAUCCCUUCGGCGAUUCUAUUGCUUUUAUUUAAAGAACAACGGUGUUGCAUGCAUGUUUUCAACAAUACUGCAGGUCGAUGAUUUUUAAUUGUACAAAUUUCAAACCUUUUUUCUCCUUUUAUCUGGUUUGUGUGAUGCACAAACCGUGCGCUGUAUAUGCUGGUCAAUAAAUGGGAUGUACCUCAAAUCAACCAAAGAAUACCAUGUGGUAAUCACAAUUGUACAAAACCUUGCAAUCAAUCUGUACGGGUGUGUUAAUAGCACCCAAAACUUGAAUUUGUCCUGAGUUCGUCGUAAUUGACCGAUUGCUCCGAGGGCAAAUAACUCUCUCUCUCUAAAAGAAGAUAUCAUACGGAGGCUUCACUUCAUUGUAUCAUCAUUAGAAAUCGAUGCCCACUUUGGCAACAAUGCGCAUGCGUGUGGUGAUUUAUGACCUCUAGGAAUUUUUGGCCACCAUCCAUCGACAUGCUACCCUGCUGGCUGUGCCCUAUUCCGUCCGUCCGUUUGUGUCGCCAUGUCGCACAGUGGGAGACAAUUCGCAGUACUGCCGGAUUUCAAGUCGUUUCUCCGACAAGGGGUGCGAAGAAGCUGUUCAAACCCCUCCAAAUGACUGCCUUUGUAUGUGGCUUUUGUUUGCCAAUACAUGUGCCUGUGACUGUUCAAACGAUUGCAGGUAAUUCCAUUUAGUAACGUCGCUGAACAGCUUUGGACCAAGAAAAAAAAAUAAAUUGUUAAGCAUGAUUCGUAUCAUCCAUCCAACACCGAUCCCUUUCAGAAGCUGUGUUGUUGUGUAAUUUUUCAUGCGGAAAAAGGGACAAUUAUUUCGGUGACAUUUUACUUCAACCUCAAGCAGAUCCCAAGCGCCUGUUCGUCGAAAAAUCGUUUGGAAGAAAAUCGUUUCUCCCAUCCUUCAGGCGACUGGAGCGGCAUUCCACGAACGGGUUUUUUUUGUCGCUCUUCAUUUCAGUCCUUCCUUAUGGUUAAUCCAAUUUUGGUCUUCUUCAAUCUUAGAUAACGCUUUUGUCAAAGGAAAUGAAAGCUGUUCAUGUUCAGGCUACCCCUCGCAGUGGAACAUAUUUCUAUCGAAACUAGAAAUAAAAAUGUCAGAAAAUGAGUGAAUUCAAUUCUUUCAAACUAAACGUAAGGAUAUCGUUUUUUUUUAUUCGUUUUAACUCUUUAUAUUUGGGAAAACCGAAAUAGGUUUAAGAUGGGAAAGAAUUCCAGUUCAAAAGUAAAACCUUCUAACGUUCAGACAAAACAAGAUUC
Molecule: long non-coding RNA, 6045 nt
Organism: Anopheles funestus (African malaria mosquito)
Lineage: Eukaryota; Metazoa; Arthropoda; Insecta; Diptera; Culicidae
Exons: 3
Source: RefSeq, a predicted model, not a curated record